GACGAACGCUGGCGGCGCGCCUAACACAUGCAAGUCGAACGGAGCUGCGAGAAGCUUGCUUUUCUUAGCUUAGUGGCGCACGGGUGAGUAACGCGUGAGUAACCUGCCCUGGAGUGGGGGACAACAGUUGGAAACGACUGCUAAUACCGCAUAAGCUCAUGAUCCGGCAUCGGAUUUAGGGAAAAGGAUUUAUUCGCUUCAGGAUGGACUCUUGUCCAAUUAGCUAGUUGGUGAGGUAACGGCCCACCAAGGCGACGAUUGGUAGCCGGACUGAGAGGCUGAACGGACACAAUGGGACUGAGACACGGCCCAGAAUCCUACGGGAGGCAGGAGUGGGGGAUAUAGCACAAUGGGGGAAACGCUGAUGCAGCGACGCGGGGUAGAGGAAGAAGGUGGUCGGAAUGUAAAGUCCUGUCGUAAGGGACGAGAAUGACGGUACCUAACAAGAAAGCACCGGCUAACUACGUG
Molecule: ribosomal RNA, 468 nt
Filed under: uncultured bacterium
Lineage: Bacteria
Description: partial 16S ribosomal RNA
Rfam family: Bacterial small subunit ribosomal RNA
Source: RNAcentral